Molecule: ribosomal RNA, 498 nt
Filed under: uncultured bacterium
Lineage: Bacteria
Description: partial 16S ribosomal RNA
Rfam family: Bacterial small subunit ribosomal RNA
Source: RNAcentral
GACGAACGCUGGCGGCGUGCCUAAUACAUGCAAGUCGAGCGGUCCCUUCGGGGAUAGCGGCGGGCGGGUGAGUAACACGUAGGCAACCUGCCUGUAAGACCGGAAUAACUAUCGGAAACGAUAGCUAAGACCGGAUAGCUGGUUUUCUCGCAUGAGAGAAUCAUGAAAAACGGGGCAACCUGUGGCUUAAAGAAGGGCCUGCGGCGCAUUAGCUAGUUGGUAGGGUAACGGCCUACCAAGGCGGCGAUGCGUAGCCGACCUGAGAGGGUGACCGGCCACACUGGGACUGAGACACGGCCCAGACUCCUACGGGAGGCAGCAGUAGGGAAUCUUCCGCAAUGGACGCAAGUCUGACGGAGCAACGCCGCGUGAGUGAUGAAGGUCUUCGGAUCGUAAAGCUCUGUUGCCCUAGACGAACAGCAAGGAGAGUAACUGCUCUUUGUGUGACGGUAUAGGAGAAGAAAGCCCCGGCUAACUACGUGCCAGCAGCCGCCGUAA